GUUUCUGUGUUCGGCAUUCCAUGUCCGGUCUAUGGCCCGUCGUGUGUUGUCAAUAGCUUGUCGAUGUGGGAUGAAUCCUACUUGGUCGGGAUGUAUCAGGGAGCCCAUUAGAGGGUUGAUCCUGUUAGCUAUUACUUUGGUCAUGAUUUUCAAGUCAACUUUCAAGAGUGAAAUUGAGUGGAAGUAUCCUGGUUCGUCAUGAGGUUUUCC
This is a non-coding RNA of Pelobates cultripes (western spadefoot toad), 210 nucleotides long. The record is from the annotation of a GenBank genome assembly. Lineage: Eukaryota; Metazoa; Chordata; Amphibia; Anura; Pelobatidae.